CAGCAGUAGCCGCGGUAAUACGAAGGGAGCUAGCGUUGUUCGGAUUAACUGGGCGUAAAGGGUGCGUAGGCGGGUCUUUAAGUCAGGGGUGAAAUCCCAAGGCUCAACCUUGGAACUGCCUUUGAUACUGGAGAUCUUGAGUCCGGGAGAGGUGAGUGGAACUGCGAGUGUAGAGGUGAAAUUCGUAGAUAUUCGCAAGAACACCAGUGGCGAAGGCGGCUCACUGGCCCGGUACUGACGCUGAGGCGCGAAAGCGUGGGGAGCAAACAGGAUUAGAUACCCCUGUAGUCCCUGUCUCUUAUAC
This 304-nucleotide ribosomal RNA is filed under the name uncultured bacterium. Its description in RNAcentral is "partial 16S ribosomal RNA". It matches the Rfam family "Bacterial small subunit ribosomal RNA", at positions 506 to 807 of the family's 1533-position model. The record is from RNAcentral.